Molecule: ribosomal RNA, 427 nt
Filed under: uncultured bacterium
Lineage: Bacteria
Description: bacterial SSU rRNA
Rfam family: Bacterial small subunit ribosomal RNA
Source: RNAcentral
CCGAGAAUAUUCGACAAUGGGCGAAAGCCUGAUCGAGCGAUACCGCGUGAUGGAUGAAGGCCUUCGGGUUGUAAACAUCUUUUGGAGGGGAAGAAAUAAUUGACAUUACCCUCAGAAUAAGGGGCUCCUAACUCUGUGCCAGCAGGAGCGGUAAUACAGAGGCCCCAAGCGUUACCCGGAAUCACUGGGCGUAAAGGGUGUGUAGGUGGUCGCAUUAGUCGCUUGUUAAAAACCCGGGCUCAACCCGGGGAGUGCGGGCGAAACGGUGCGACUCGAGGGCGUGAGAGGUGCAUAGAACUCUAGGUGUAGGGGUGAAAUCCGUUGAUAUCUAGGGGAAUACCGAAAGCGAAGGCAGUGCACUGGCGCGUUCCUGACACUGAAACACGAAAGCGUAGGUAGCGAACGGGAUUAGAUACCCCCGUAGUCC